Molecule: long non-coding RNA, 818 nt
Filed under: Homo sapiens (human)
Lineage: Eukaryota; Metazoa; Chordata; Mammalia; Primates; Hominidae
Description: non-protein coding lnc-SIN3A-2:5
Source: RNAcentral
CCUGACUGCUCACUGCAGUUACCUCUGUGCCUGCCCCUCCCAGCCUUCCCAUCCCUGCCCUUGGCCCCUGCAGGCUCCUUCUUCUGAACCAGUUCCAUGAUGUGGUGACUGGAAGCUGCAUCCAGAUGGUGGCAGAGGAAGCCAUGUGCCAUUAUGAAGACAUCCGUUCCCAUGGCAAUACACUGCUCAGCGCUGCAGCCGCAGCCCUGUGUGCUGGGGAGCCAGGUCCUGAGGGCCUCCUCAUCGUCAACACACUGCCCUGGAAGCGGAUCGAAGUGAUGGCCCUGCCCAAACCGGGCGGGGCCCACAGCCUAGGUACGAGCUGAGGGGAAGGGUUGCUACUGCAGCAGGAAGGAUGGAGGCCAGACAGAUCAGGCCUGGGAUACCCCGAGGGAUCUGGGUGCCCCUGACUGGAGAGUAGUAGCACAUCUUCCACCAACCCAUCCCCACCUGCGCAAGCUUCCUGAAAGGUCAGGAAGGCUGCACUGAUGCCCAGGCCUCACCCCCAGCCCUGGUGACAGUGCCCAGCAUGGGCUAUGCUCCUGUUCCUCCCCCCACCUCACUGCAGCCCCUGCUGCCCCAGCAGCCUGUGUUCGUAGUGCAAGAGGUGAGUCCUGCAUGCCCUGGGGGGCAGGAACUGUGCUGGGAUACUUUCUUACAACUGAGGGUCCUGAGCUCCCCUGUCUGGAGCAAGUGGUGAGGCGGGGCUGGGGUUGGGGUGGGAAGACUUUUGGUGUGGGAAGCCCCUACAGACUCAGCCUCAAGGCCUCCUCCCACAAAGACUGAUGGCUCCGUGACUCUGGACAAUGGCAUCAUCC